UACGUAGGUGGCAAGCGUUGUCCGGAAUUAUUGGGCGUAAGCGCGACGCAGGCGGCUUCUUAAGUCUGAUGUGAAAUCUCGGGGCUCAAACCCCGGAGCCGGCCAGUUGGAAACUGGGAGCUUGAGUACAGAAGAGGAGAGUCGAAUUCCACGUGGUAGCGGUGAAAUGCGUAGAUAUGAUGGAGGAACACUAGUGGCGAAGGCGACUCUCGUGGUCUGUAACCUGGACGCUGAGGCGCGAAAUCUGGGGAGCAAACAGG
RNAcentral lists this ribosomal RNA (260 nucleotides) under uncultured bacterium. Its description in RNAcentral is "partial 16S ribosomal RNA". It matches the Rfam family "Bacterial small subunit ribosomal RNA", at positions 524 to 776 of the family's 1533-position model. The record is from RNAcentral.